GGUCUUGUGGGGCAGCCCUAAAAUGUAUCUCCAAGUGACCCUGCACUCAUCACUUGCUGCCUUGGACUUAGUUUCCUCAUUCGUAGAAUGGAGACACCACACUUUCUGAAGUGCUUAUGAGACUUGCAGGAGGUAGACUUUUCUGGAAGACCCAGACCUCGAGUUGGAAUGGGGAGAACACUUAAACACUUGAUGUGCAGACAUCCUGAGCUUCAGCUGAUCUUACAAGCACAAAGGUCUUUUGUAGGAGGAAUGUACCUACAAAUGUCUGAAUCGUCUAAAAUAUCAGAACUUAUAAGUCAGCAUUUUCAUAUAAAAGUGAAUUAGAAGCAGUUUGAGAAUGCAGUGCUAAUUCAUAUAUGCAUACAUUCAUAACUUGCAUAAAUAUGUUAAAAGUUGUUUGGAAAUGUGACCCAAUGACAUGGAUCCUACUUCUAGACUUUUGAAAAUAUCUGCAUAUGGUUCUUAUCCUUUAGCACUAACAUGACACAUAUAAACAGAUGUAAAUAGCUAAAAGGGGCCUGUAAGCUACUUUGUAAGCACGGC
Long non-coding RNA from Homo sapiens (human), 546 nucleotides. Ensembl annotates it as ARGLU1 divergent transcript. Its record names the gene ARGLU1-DT. Lineage: Eukaryota; Metazoa; Chordata; Mammalia; Primates; Hominidae. The record is from Ensembl.